GCUGGCUUAGCUCAACUGGUAGAGCAACUGACUUGUAAUCAGUAGGUUGGGAGUUCGAUUCUUCUAGCCAGCA
This is a non-coding RNA of Glossina fuscipes fuscipes, 73 nucleotides long. The record is from Rfam. NCBI's taxonomy places the organism in Eukaryota, Metazoa, Arthropoda, Insecta, Diptera, Glossinidae.